This is a long non-coding RNA of Condylostylus longicornis, 5707 nucleotides long. RefSeq lists it as uncharacterized. The record is from RefSeq and is a predicted model, not a curated record. The transcript has 9 exons. NCBI's taxonomy places the organism in Eukaryota, Metazoa, Arthropoda, Insecta, Diptera, Dolichopodidae.
AUUUAACCUAUUUAAGGAAAAGUUAAAUUUUUAACAAUGAAUUUUAAUUGAAGUUGUCAAUAAUGCUAUUGAAGGUCUAUAUGUAUAUCAAAGAAAAUUCAAAUAGGAAUGUAAUGUACAUACAUAUGUACAUAUAUGUACUUCAUAAAUGUAAGAAGGGCUGAACUAGUUUUAAAACGACUGAAGUUGUUGAAAUGAAAGGAAACAAAAGAAAACCAUGCUGGCAUAAAAAGAAAUAUAAGCGAAGUGGAUGAAGUUAAUAAGUGGCUAUUACAAACAAGCCGUACAAUCUCACCGGAAUAGGAAAAUAAUAAAUAACAAGGCCGCUUUCUGUUCAUUCUUGUGAGAAAACCGAAAAUGUGCCAUUAAAAUAUUUUAUUAUAUCGAGCAUCUUACACUAAAUAAUUUGGAAAGACAACCGCAUAAAAGAUGAAAACAUUAAAUAUAAAAUAUUUAGAUCAAUUGAAAUUUUAGAUAAUGCAGUUUCGCCUUUUUUCAAUUAAAAUUUAACAAAAAAAAAUUUAAAACAUUACUCAAAAUAAAAAAAAAACAAUAUUUCAAGUUCUUGUUACUACUCAAGUUAUGAUAAUUAAAGAAAAAUUAAAAUCUCACAGAACACAAAAAAAGUGAGGAAGAUGAGGUAUCCUGUCGAGAAGGUAAAUAAUAAUUUGGAAAGUCUACAAAAUUCGAAUAACUAAAGGAAGUCGGAAAUUGAAAUAUAAGAAAUUUGCAUCAGCAAAUGUGCGAGAUUAUCGAAUUUUUAAAAAAUAUCACAGUAAGGUACAAAUUUAGCUGCAUUUGAAUACACUCAUUGGAAAGAACAGCUCAGUUAAUAACACCUUUAGAAAAAGACUUUGUGAAUAUUAUGGUGAACUUGCAACUUAGCGUGCAGCUGGAACAUUCAAAGUAUCGCAAACCUAUUGUUACAGUGCUCACACACGUUGUGAUCUUGAGAUUUAUAGAAAAAAUCUAAAAUAAGGCGAUAAAAAAAACUGAUCUGAAGAAAAACAAAAAUAUAAUAUAUGUAUAAAGUAUAUUUCAGGUUUGCAGUGUUGUUUUUGACAUAUUGCCAGGCAGGCAGGCAAAUAUUAAAAAAUUCACAUAAUUUGGAUUUUUACAAAUUUAAAUUUUAGAUUACAUGAGGGUGCGAUUGAAUUUAUUUUUCAGAGAAAAAUUCUCAACUUUGAUUGAAGCUUAUUCCGGAGAAGAAGAUGAAGAUUUAGUAAAGUACACAGACUGGGAUAUGUGCGUAUUGGUUGCUCAUAUGAAAACAACAUUAUCCUGAAUAUGCAUAAUUUUGAUACUUAAGACAUCACAUACACUUAAAAUAUUUCUCCGUUUUAUGGAUUAAGUUCUUCAUACAAUAUUAUAUGAAAUGUUAUUAAUGAGGAUAUCAUUUUAAAUUUUUGAAGUGACAUUAAAAUUUGUCAUGUACAUAUAUGCACAUAGUUGCAUUAACAUAUUGAAAGAAAUUUAUAAUCGAGUCAAAAAUUAUAUUACAAAAUAUAGUCUAUUAAAGAGAACCUUAAAGAAAAUAAAAAUGGGAACUGUAUAUUGUAAGGAGCAUAAGUACACAAUAAAUUAUAUCCUUAAUUAUUUUUUAAGGAUAAUUUACAAGCAAGAAGAAAUAUGACUUGUGAAGUGCUGUUCUAAAUAUCUACCAAACUCUGGAUCAAUUUAUUUUUGAGUUAUUGUGUAGGCUGUACUAUGAAAUGAAAUAUGUAAAAUCAGAGGCUGCAUAAGUGAUGAAAUGGAGGAUAAAUAGCAAAUAGCAAGUUGUUAUUUGAUUUUUGCAGAAGUGUAAGAAAGAAGGGAAAGAAGUAAAACCAAAUUUUAAGGUUGAAAGUGCAACACUAUACAAUGUCGUUAUAUAAGGCAAGAAAUGUGAAAUUUUCACUUAAUCGCUAUUACUUUGAUAACUUAUAACAUCACAAUGUUUCAUGCGAGACUUUAAGUUGACGGUUAUAUAUUUUGGAAUUUAAUUAUGAAGUCUUUUAAGUUAAAAAACAUUUGAACACAGAAAAUAAUUGAGGCGAAAACGAGAUUUUUUAUAAUACAAUAAAAAAUAUCAAAAUAUACACAACUGUAAUAAAAAUUUCUAUAACAAUGAGCCAACUAUUAAAUUAUGUGGCAAACUUAAUUCAAUUAUUUGGUUUUAUAAAUUAUCGCUCUACUGUAUUCACAAAUCUUCAGAAAUUUUGAAAUAUUGGUUUAUGGAAAACUUAACAAAUAAUGCUAAAACACCUCUCCACAUCAUUUUGAAUGCAACGAUUACAGGACAGCUUUUUUAAGUUUAACUCAACGCAGUAGAACAAAACUCAGCAUAAAAAAUCUGAUGUGAUCAGCACAUAACCGAGCGCAAUGUUUAUUUUCUAGUUUAGCGAAAGUGUAACAGAAGAUUAUGAAAAUACUACUUUAAUACUUCUUUUUUAAGGACGAUAGUAAGCUUUUAGUUAACGUACCUGGAAAAAUGUAAAUUUGGCUUUUAGUAGAGUUUCGCUUUGUGUCAUCUGGAUUCCCUUCAGAGCAGUUUGCCAGUUAGCUUCGGCUACAACCAGAACUCAAAUAUUUUAAAAAAUUCUAUCAAUUGGCUUCGAGGACAUGGUAAAAAAUAUAAAAUCGACCCUCACUUCGAUUUCUGAGCCCCGAUUUUUCAAAAAAAUUUAUAGGUUCAUUGUUUUAACACCCCGAAUUUAAGUAUUAAAUUUCAAAGAAACUUGUUGAUUAUUUCUUCUUACAUGCGCAAAAAUGUAAAAUCGGCUCGCAAAAAAGUUCAGUUCCAGAGACCCGAUAAACCUCAAAACCACAGCCAAGAUCAAUUAUAAUGCAAAAUUGCAAUCCGUACCCCAGCCAAGAUCAAUUAUAAUGAAAAAUUUCAUCAAAGUUGGUUCAGCCGAACUUGAGAUACACGCGUGCAGACAGAUUGUCACCUAUCUAACAAUAGUUUAUUCAGGCUUCCCUAUCAUAGAGAAGGGCGUUCCGACCAAAAACCUCGACAUCCGAAAUUUAGUGCCAUCACAUAACCGUCCUUAUUGUAUGCAAAAUGGUCGGUAAAAAGAAACUGCAAAUAAAUGAAAAAGUGCAUUGCAAUUACAGGAAAGCAUUACGGAACAUAAAAAAUCUAGAAAUAGAAAAGAAAAUAAAGAAUCUGACAUCACAAUUUUUAGACAUUUUUCAUUCUGUUUCUUAUUUUCUCUAUCAUUUUAUUCCAUCCAUAAAGAACAUAAUAAACAGUAAGUCAACACUGUACUGGAGACCAAAAAUAUGAAAACAGCAAAAUAUAAAACCAAGUGGAAAGCAUAGAAGCGUGGAAGGAGGUCUAACAAUGUUACUUACAUAAUAUAAAAAUAAUGCCGAAAAGAAAAUCUAGUGAAACUGAAUGAAUUUUUAAAUCCCCAAUUCUACUUGUGGGUUUUUUAUUUGCCUUUUUCAUUUAAAAAACACUAACACAAAAAUAAAGUGAAAAAAGUGUAAAAAUUAUAUAAAGAGUGUUGUAAAAAGUAAGAAAAAUGAAAAUCUAAAUAAAAUGAACUGAAUAGCCUAGAUGUCACUCAAAUCGCAAAGUGUAAAAAUAAAAAAAUUCUUUGAUGUGCACUUGCGUUUAAAAAGCCUGGCAUUGUAAACAUUUAAGUGGUUUUUCCAAUUUAGAUUUUAAAAUAUGUAAGUAUAAAGAAAAUAAAAAGUGAAUUUUAAAGAGUUUAAUUACAUACAAACGUUGCUUUGACAAAAAAAUCUGAAAAAUUCUCAUUUUAAUUUCAUUUUGACUCUAAAAUUAUUUGAGGUAAUCGGAGUUUUUUAUGUCGUUAUAUAAUGCACUUUUAAAUUAAAAGAAUUUUGUAAAAACAUUAAAAAUGAUUUAAAUAAAUGUGUUUUUAUGUUAGCUAUUUUGAAAUUUGUAGAAAACAUAUAGAACUUAUUGUAUAUUUCGGUGUUCUACUUGCUAAAUAAGAGUGUGCGAGUAAAAUUCACUUUAUUUUUCAUAAAAACUAAUAUAUUUACUCAUAUUCAUAUUUCGGAUUAAAUUGAUAUGGAAAAUAAUUGACUACUUCUGUGAAACGAUGACUUUGGGCUGUUCCAAAUCUACGGGCUACCACGUAAAGUAUUAAAUUUAACAAUUGUAGCUGCAUUUUAUUUUUUUGCGUAAUAUUAGAUUAAAAAAACUAAUUUUGAAAAGUUUUUGUCCCUUUUCUUUUGUGGUUUCCUCAUUAGAAAAAUUAUUUUAACGCAAUUAUGCUCUAUAAAGGAUUAAUAAACGGACAUUUGGAAAAAAAAUCAAAAUCAUUGCAUGCCAUGCAACUUAUUAAAGACUGGAAAUAAAUUUUUUAAAAUUUUUUCAUUUUGAAAAGACUCUUUACAUUUUGUACGUGUAAAGUUAGAAGAUAGGUAAAAUCAAUAAUGGGUGUGAAGCUACGGACAUUUGCAAUGAUCACUUACUCCUAACUGCGGACAUAAGCUGCUAAAAGGAGCACGAAUGGAAGCAGGAUGAGAAAGCUUGACACUUAUGAGAAAUCAGCAAGAACUACAAAUUAAGAACUGCAAAUUAAGACCGGUAAGGAAAAAGUUUGGCAGUCUACUUAUAUCAAUUCAAAAACAAUUGGCGAGAUACUGAAUUUGAAACCAAGAAUUAUACAUUAGAGAUAAGACAACAAUUGACGAGGGGCACCAAAUAUAAAAGAAAUAGUGGACGUAAUUAGAAAAGUCAGAUAUUCCACCUGAACUGUUUAAAGCAGGAAAGAUUACAACAGCCAAUGCACUGUAAACAAUAAUAGAAAUACAAUAAAUCAUUAACAGAAAAAAUAUAGCAAGACGAAAAAAUCUUCAAAGACUGGAAAACGGGACUAUUGAUCAACCUAAUCAAAAAAGGUUUUAGGUCAACCUAAUCAAAAUGUCGUAAUCAGAGAGAUAUAAAAAUGUUUUAAUGUAAUCGCUAGUAUUGUGAUAUGAUAUUAUAUAAGACAGGAUAGUAGGAAAGUUCGACAAAAGUCUAAGAGAAGCAUGCGGACUUUCAAUCGUUUUAUUUUAAUUCCAAACAAAAAAAACACAAUUUCUUUCAUUGGAACGCUUACAACGCUUUAUUUGUUGUAAAUAUUAACAAUGCUUUACUAAAUAGAGGUGAAAAUUGCAAUAUCAUUUUUUUUGUGAGGGAUGAAAUAUUAAACAUUAUUAAAACCCAUGGUAUACAAAUACAAAAAAAUCAGCAACAAUAACGGGGGAAAACAGAGGAUAAUUUAGAAUUUAAUGCAAACUCAUUAUUCGGCAAAUAAAAUAUCACCGUAAAUAAUAAUAAAACGGUAACAAAAAAUAAAGCGUACACAUACCAUAAUGAUAAAUGAUAUCCUAAAAAAAAAUUUUCCUUUCAUCAAAGAAAAAACAAAUCAUUAUAAUAAGACAUAUUUUUACAGAGAAUCAAGGAAAAAAAAGGAUAUUUAAUGGUCUCCCGGUUUUCUCUCCGGUUAUGAUUAUACAUAUAUUUUUGUUUAAAAAACUGUAAAAGGCGAGUCAGUAUAAGAAAAUUAAUAUUGCGGACACAAUGACAUUACACAAAAAAUAAAAAAAAUUAAAAUGACAUUUAAGUAAAUUAAUCAUAUGUCAAUAUUUGACAUUAAAAUUUUGAAAAGAAGUUAAGUUUAUUUUAUGAAAAAAAUAUGUUUUAAUAGCAAAAAUAUUAUAAAAGUGAGUAAAUAAUAGCGGUAGGUUGGUCCUCCAG